Molecule: unclassified non-coding RNA, 245 nt
Filed under: Hevea brasiliensis (rubber tree)
Lineage: Eukaryota; Viridiplantae; Streptophyta; Magnoliopsida; Malpighiales; Euphorbiaceae
Source: RNAcentral
AUUAACUUAGGAAUUUUGUUGGGAAGUAAUGUUGGGUUGUUCACAUUCUAAGAUUUUAUGGUUGCAAAAAUCUCCAAUAGGUUAGAUGGGCAUGAGGGUCCUUUCCUCUUUGUUGGUGGCAUAUCACUCUCCUCCAAGCUCUCAUAUUUUUCAUUUUUGUUUAGAAUUUCUGUGGAUCUUGCUACUAAAUUUGACAAGUUGAUGAGAGAUGUAAUUUGAUCUGUUGUUGCAGGUCACAGGAAGGA